This 346-nucleotide long non-coding RNA is filed under the name Helianthus annuus (common sunflower). RNAcentral's name for it is "hypothetical non coding rna". The record is from RNAcentral. Lineage: Eukaryota; Viridiplantae; Streptophyta; Magnoliopsida; Asterales; Asteraceae.
UUGAAACUCUGAUAUAUCGGAUCGGUUUCCAUUCUUUUUAGCCUGUCAAUCCAUGAGUGUGAUACAUUACCAAAAACAACAGUUCGUUAACAACUGAUUUAUCAGAAACAUUACAGAAUCAACAGUUCGUUAACAACUCAUAAAGUCAAAAUAACAAUUCAACAACGUGGAAAAGAAUAACAACCUGAGCUUCAAGUUUAGCAAUAUGAGUGAUUAAUGAACCCUUAUCCCUUCAAUUAAUCGAGUCUUCAUCAAAUCCUGCUUCACGAAGACGAACACGGAACAACAAAAUGGUGGCAGCGAGUCUCAUUUGAUCGAUUCGACCACGGCGAUUGGGUUAACAACU